Molecule: ribosomal RNA, 164 nt
Filed under: uncultured bacterium
Lineage: Bacteria
Description: partial 16S rRNA
Rfam family: Bacterial small subunit ribosomal RNA
Source: RNAcentral
UAGGGAAUCUUCCACAAUGGGCGAAAGCCUGAUGGAGCAACGCCGCGUGUGUGAUGAAGGCUUUCGGGUCGUAAAGCACUGUUGUAUGGGAAGAACAGCUAGAAUAGGAAAUGAUUUUAGUUUAACGGUACCAUACCAGAAAGGGACGGCUAAAUACGUGCCAG